Molecule: transfer RNA, 67 nt
Filed under: Mileewa mira
Lineage: Eukaryota; Metazoa; Arthropoda; Insecta; Hemiptera; Cicadellidae
Description: tRNA-Leu
Source: RNAcentral
UCUAAUGUGGCAGAUUUAAUUGCGAAGAAUUUAAGAUUCUUUUAUAAAUAAACUUAUUUUUUUAGAA